UAGGGAAUAUUGGUAAUCUGGGAAACCGGGAACCAGCAACGCCGCGUGCGCGAUGAAGGCCUUCGGGUUGUAAAGCGCUUUUUGAGAGGAUGAGGAAGGACAGUACUCUUAGAAUAAGCCUCGGCUAACUACGUGCCAGCAGCCGCGGUAAAACGUAGGAGGCGAGCGUUAUCCGGAUUUACUGGGCGUAAAGCGUGUGUAGGCGGUUUGAUAAGUUGGAUGUGAAAGCUCCUGGCUUAACUGGGAGAGGUCGUUCAAAACUGUCGGACUAGAGGAUGAGAGAGGGAGGUGGAAUUCCGAGUGUAGUGGUGGAAUGCGUAGAUAUUCGGAGGAACACCAGUGGCGAAAGCGGCCUCCUGGCUCAUAUCUGACGCUCAGACGCGAAAGCUAGGGUAGCAAACG
RNAcentral lists this ribosomal RNA (402 nucleotides) under uncultured prokaryote. Its description in RNAcentral is "bacterial SSU rRNA". It matches the Rfam family "Bacterial small subunit ribosomal RNA", at positions 355 to 774 of the family's 1533-position model. The record is from RNAcentral.